AUACGUAGGGAGCGAGCGUUGUCCGGAAUUACUGGGUGUAAAGGGAGCGUAGGCGGGAGUGCAAGUCAGAUGUGAAAUACAUGGGCUCAACCCAUGGGCUGCAUUUGAAACUGCAUUUCUUGAGUGAAGUAGAGGUAGGCGGAAUUCCUGGUGUAGCGGUGAAAUGCGUAGAUAUCAGGAGGAACACCGGUGGCGAAGGCGGCUUACUGGGCUUUUACUGACGCUGAGGCUCGAAAGCGUGGGGAGCAAACAGGAUUAGAUACCCUGGUAGUCCACGCUGUAAACGAUGAUUACUAGGUGUGGGGGGACUGACCCCUUCCGUGCCGCAGUUAACACAAUAAGUAUUCCGCCUGGGGAGUACGGCCGCAAGGUUGAAACUCAAAUGAAUUGACGGGG
This 396-nucleotide ribosomal RNA is filed under the name uncultured bacterium. RNAcentral describes it as "partial 16S ribosomal RNA". It matches the Rfam family "Bacterial small subunit ribosomal RNA", at positions 523 to 918 of the family's 1533-position model. The record is from RNAcentral.